UGGGCGGUAUGACCCAAUAUUUAUGUCACGGUAUUUUUCAAAAUUAUACAGAUUUCACGGUACAUGAUGUUAUUUUAUUUCAUACAUGAA
Sinocyclocheilus grahami is the source of this 90-nucleotide long non-coding RNA. RefSeq lists it as uncharacterized. The record is from RefSeq and is a predicted model, not a curated record. NCBI's taxonomy places the organism in Eukaryota, Metazoa, Chordata, Actinopteri, Cypriniformes, Cyprinidae. The transcript has 3 exons.